RNAcentral lists this small RNA (261 nucleotides) under Arabidopsis thaliana (thale cress). RNAcentral's name for it is "ATSL049650". The record is from RNAcentral. Lineage: Eukaryota; Viridiplantae; Streptophyta; Magnoliopsida; Brassicales; Brassicaceae.
AUAAAGUAGUAUAAAUAUCGUAAAAAUUUAAACUAAGCUAUUCGUUAUUAAUUUAUUUUAUUAAGAGACAAAUUAAUUUAAUUUAAGAAAGCACGAAAAAUGGGACAUGACAAGUGAACCUCGUGAUCUUCCAAAGCAGAUUCAAAAUAAUACUCCUUCCAUUUUCAUUUCUACCCUCUUUAAAUAUUUAAUGACCAUUUUACUCCUAUUUAGAAAUUGUUUUAGGUUAACAAAAUGAAAUAUUAAUAUUUUUCGUCUAAU